This is a long non-coding RNA of Oryzias melastigma (Indian medaka), 357 nucleotides long. RefSeq lists it as uncharacterized. The record is from RefSeq and is a predicted model, not a curated record. The transcript is spliced from 2 exons. NCBI's taxonomy places the organism in Eukaryota, Metazoa, Chordata, Actinopteri, Beloniformes, Adrianichthyidae.
ACAUUGACACAAGGAGGAGCGUGUUCCCAAAAGUUUGGCGAUCUACUUGACUGAAGAUCCAGACUCUUUCUUCAAGGAAUUUUUUACCUCUUCCACUGAAAACGACAUCGCAGAAAGCAUUCCAGCUACGGUCAGCCAUCUCAGAAGAAAUGGGAUUGGAUGUUGCUGUUGGAAUUGAAGGUGUUCAAGACCUCAGGAACACACAUUAGACACAUUAGAAGAACUCCUUUUCUACCAAACUAAAUUGUGGUAAUUGGCUUUGAGGUCUUUUGAAUUCCUACAAAUCCUAAAGUUUUUGCCAUUUCUUUUUCUCCUUUUUUAUUUCCCCUUUUCAAGAUCUGCUUAAAAUCUUGUAGA